This 28412-nucleotide long non-coding RNA is filed under the name Ananas comosus (pineapple). RNAcentral describes it as "long non-coding RNA (ACOM_LNC044297)". Lineage: Eukaryota; Viridiplantae; Streptophyta; Magnoliopsida; Poales; Bromeliaceae. The record is from RNAcentral.
AUAUAUUAAAAAUCUUCAACUCCCCCGGUACCGGUGACAUUCCGACAUUCGGAGUGUUACCGAGACAGGGACAGGUAUUAGUUACCUAACUGUAUCACCGAGGUUUUUAUGAACUAGUUGUUUUUGUUUAAAUUGGUCUUUCUGGUGAUUGUUCAUUUAAGUGUCGGUUGUAAGAGACCCCUUUCACGUAUAGUUUCGUUUUAUUCCUUUACAAGACUCAAAGGCUCUAAAUGACUUUGAGGGAACAAUAUAUUAAUAAUAUACGAUGGUUGUAAUUGGUUAGGUAAUUCCGAUUAGUUAGGUAUCUCCAAUGAAACGCUUUCGUGUAGUCAUCCUUGACUAAAGCGCUAUUUAUAAUUCGUAGUUAGACUCAAGGUUGUUAGUUGUACAGUUUCUACUCGUGUGUUUAAGACAAGGAUUCUUUGAGUCAUACAACCGGACGCCGUGUUAGAAGAAUUGACUUGGAAGAGGACCGUAGUGUUCUAAUUUCCGAAACAACCAUUUCUGUUUGUCUUGGUUUUUUCUUCUUCUUCUUCUUCUUCUUUCUAGAUACUUUCAACAUCAUCUUAUUUGUUUUUUAUGUGCAUUAUUUAUAUUAUGGAGUUAAAAUAGUACUAGUAUAAACUAGUCCUUCUGCGUAGAUGUCGGGGAUUAUAGUACGUCAAAGGAAAGCUAAAGUUACUGUACACGUAGCUUCAUCCAACGAAGAAGUAAGGAGAGGACUUCACCUUCGUCGUUUUGUCUAUUCUCUAGUGUGGUCUCCAUCCCCUAAAUUUACCCGGUCCUAAUCCAGUUUUGAGGCUACUUUAAAGUUUCCCGGGACCGGGUUUUGGGCGGGGAUUAUCACUGUCUUUAACCCUCACACCGGCCGGGUAAAAAUGGAGGAUUAGUCUUUCAUUCUCUUUUUCUAAAAUAUUACUCUUUUUAUGGGCCUUCGUCUCCUGUUCUAGAGGCUGUCGUUGGAAACAUGUAAGUCUUCUAAGGUCUCCUUACCUCGCAAGUGCUUGUCGGAGGAACUGUAAGUGGGUAAGUAGCAGUAGUCGAGGUUUGGGAACUUUAGAGUGAAACUGAAGGAUCAAAAUCUUUAGCUUCACUAUAUUCUUUGUACUCCCGAUCUUCAACCUUUCGUUGUCUUAAUUACGGUUUCUACAAGUAUUGAGCUUUGCUUAUUCUACUGUAUUUCUUUAAACGGUGUUUUUAACAGAUAUACAUUCAUUAUUGUACUUAACGUGAUCUGUUAGUCUUAGACAACUUCGUUAAAUAUGAACUUUGACAGAUUUUAAACGGAUUUGAGGAUAAAGUACAAGUAAAACCGUAGGUUAUAUGUACUUUUGACUUGUUACUGGUUCGCUUAGGUACUAUAAACCGUGAGAAUUAUAAUCUACGGCCGUACUGACUGAAACCUUUAGUGUGACAAAUUUGACCAAUUCUUUAAACCGAAUUUUCCGUCCUUGGAACCGAACCGCUAAUCGGUCUACUUUUCAAAAAUAUAAGUGUACAGACAGUUAUCGUGUACUAAAUUAUUUGUAGUUGGGAAGGAAUUCUAUUUUGUCUACUCAAAGCAACAAGUUAACUCACUAUAAUUCUUAUAAUGCGAAGUUAUUUCUCUAUAACAGUAGAUUAGGAAUGGAAUGAAGAAAAUACACAUUCUUUUUCUGAGAAGUCAAAUAACCCCGGUCUUUUUCAAAAAAAGGAACAAGUUACACACUUCAAUAAUACAGUCGAAGAUACUAUUUGAAAAGUAAAGUCCAUCAAGCCGUGUAUAUCAAUUCUUCCCUUUGUAAAAAUAAAGCGUUGAUGUAGAGCGAGACCUUUGUACUGUCUUAAGUAUUUGUCAACCAUCUCGAAAGUUUAUGUGUUUCCCUCAUCAUUUUGUUUAUGAAGAGGAAUGUUCAAGAGGUCUUGAUUCUUGAGAUACGCGGUCCUUACAUCGUUGUAGUAUGGACGCCGUCAUCCUAGUGUAACCUUCAGUUGUCCUUCUUUUUGUAUUCCUUUGCUUUAUUUUUGAACACCUACUUGUUGAAUUACGUAGUGAUGAUUUCACGGUCUCAGGUGACACAUCUUACUGGGUGAGCACAAGUGACGAGUUGGUUAGAAGAACUUUUGGAAAAGAUGAAUUCCGUAUCUUCAGUUCGUAAUAUUGUAUUUCUACUUUCAACAAUAAGAUGAACAGGGAUAGUGUGUAAAAUUGUCUUUCAUCUUUCAACAUAUUGCUAUAAACGUAUUGUCACUAGUACACAAUUCUAACGAUUUUUAAUGGUAAGAGAUUCUUCUCCUUCAGUUCUUCGUGUCGAUUCCUUUUUCUGUUGAUGUUGUCCUCGAUCAUUGUUCCUCUCCUCAACGUUUCGUCUUCACGUAAAACUCUCAUAUUUUCGGAUGGUACGCGGUAGAGAACUACUAGAACGGAGUUUAAGGUUGAGAGAUGGAAGUCGUGAGAAGGGUGAAGAUGGACUUAUCUUGAGGUUACUUUUUUUUUUUUUUAUCUCUUUUUUUUUCUUCUUCUUCUCUCUCUUGUCAAAAUUAUAAAUAUUGUAUGUUUUUUCCGUCUUUUUUUUAUACGGUGGUCUAUAGAAUACUUGUAAAUCUCGUUAAAUAAUCGAUGUUUCAAGUUCCUUUUCAUCUUGUUAGGUGGUUAAAAGGUUAAUUUAUUAUUAAUCGUAGAGAACGUCUUACAUUACUUCUAAAUGUUCUCCAUUCGUAUAGCAUAAACAUUAAAGUAGGACGCCGAUCUGUUUCGGUCGUCUUCCGAAGUUCUGGUGACGCGGUGAGUUCUUGAAAGUCUCUCGUAUGGACUCAUUGCAUAUUAAUGUCAAAUGUCAGAUGAGUCCUCAUCGUCACUGUUACAUGACAAAUUUUUACCAAAACUUUCUUAAUAUUUCUUAAGUAGUUUAAGUAGAACCUACACUUGUUUAUUACUCCUCUUCUGGUGUAUAUCCUUUACGUGGAUGUAAAUCAAUUUAAUGCACGUUCUCAAGUACCUUAGCUAUUUUGAUAAACGUUGAUCGGUUGAUGUAUAUAUUACUUAUAGGUAAUCUAAUUUUUUUUUUUUUUUCGCCUAUAACAGACAGAACACUGAUUUCGUUAUUCCGUUUUUUCGUAUUAAAAUCAACAUUUUCGUGGAAACCCGUACAGGCUUCAUAAACCUUCUCGUAAUAAUCUCUCUGAACGAAGACUAUGACGUCAGGAAAGAAGACUUCUUGAUCCACUUCUUCCCUGUAGUUCCUGGACCUAUGCGUCAAAUAAGAACUUGGUAAGAACUUGGACUUUGUACACGGAAAGUAGUUUUUAUCUAAGGUAUAUUGGUCAUAUAUUAUACUUCCCUAAAAAAAAAAAUUGUUAUGGACAAAGUAAACAUAUCGAGAUGAACAUGUAGAUGGACUUCGUUCUGACUUUGUCCCGUAGCUUGUUUCGUCCUUUAAUCAUCCGUAAAAAUCUCUGUAUUAGUAGAUUUCUUAUCUUCAUUCUCAUUUAAUAGUCGGUAGAAAAGAAGAGAUAUAAAGCGAAACAUUAGUAGAUUAUAUCGUCACAUAGAUUCUUAUACUCUACUCUGUGAAUGAGAUUGUUGAAACCUAACUUUUUAUGUGUUUUCCAAGUUGUCUCAUAUAAUUUUUCUGGGCCAUCUUUGACGAAUCGUAAUAUUCUGAGUGAAUUUAAAGAGCCAUUCGACGACUGUCUUUGAAAGUAGAUUAUUAAGCAGAAAAAAGAGGUCUUCAUUGAAGAGGUAGACGAAUUAGACAACUGUCGUUACUUUUAUCGUCUAAAUGGGGGUAAUUACUAUAUUAUGUGACUUUUUUCCUUGUUUUAACGUAAAACUGAAAAGCUCUUCAACCAGCCCGUUUUUUGACUAUACUCUAUUAUUGAUGGUUAUCCAGAAAGAUCAUAUGUUUACGUCCAUUAUCUCUAGAUGUUAACGAAAAACAACGGCGAAUAGUAGGAUUUUCGCUUGGGAAGGUGUAAUGUGUUUUCGACCCUAAGAAUAAAGAUAGAUCACACUCUGAUUUUAGGAGUUGUAAAAAUUGUCAAGGUUGGUUCGGUAGCGGUUAUGUGUCGUGUACCUAAAUCUUAGAUUUACCACCUUGUUAUUGACAUAGCGACUCUCUAAGAGUACUUAGUGUUCUAUCACUCGAGGUUGUGAUAGGUUUUUUCUGGCUAGAGGAGUUGGAUCGAAGAUGAGAGUAGAUGAGGUCCAUCAUAAGGGUCGUAACAAGCUUAGUUAUGCAUCCCCUUUAUGUAUUUGGGGUUGUGUAGAUAGUUAGCUAGUGGAUUUCUGCGUAGUGGAGCCUCGAGCUCUUAGCUCCUCAGACCAAUGCAGCGCAGGAGGGCACCAGCCGAGGGGGGUACCGUGCCCCUCUACCAUGUGUCCGAACCCCGAGAAGCUAGCCUCCUUCCUAACUUAAUCCCAAAAAGAUCCCAAAAAACUCCUCUUCGAAGGCGAGGGCUCCCAAAGCCUGCUUCCUCUGUUCUACCCCUCUUUACCCCCUUCUCUUCCCAAACGCGCCUCCUCUCGCUUCUUCAUGUUUAUCCUCCUUGCGAAGCAAGGGACAUCGCAAAACAUCACAACACGAUGCGAAAACGGGCCGAAAAACACCCUUCUCCUCCUCCAGGAGCUCCUCAUUUAUAAUUUUUUUUUUUUAACGUGAACCUUAGGGUGCUUUGGUUCAUUUAUACAUGUUCUUGGGGGGCGUUAAUAGCGAUGAAACUAUAAUUGGGAAUUUGAAAGCGGGAUAAUUAUGACAACCCGGGUAUAACUACCCCGGGGUAAAACACAUAACAAAAGAAUUUUAAUACGUCGGGUCCAACUCGUUUUAUAUUUUUUUAUUCCCCUUUGAAGUUUAUGGGGGACAUCAAAGCGUGAAAGAGUGAAAUCAUGGGACACUAAAGCUCACAUAGUUCAAUCAUGGAACACUAAAACGUGAAAGAAUGAAAUCAUAGGAUACUAAAGUUCACAUAGUUCAAUCAUGAGAUACCAAAGCGUGAAAUAGUGAAAUCAUGGGACACCAAAUUAUAAAACAAUUUAAUAUAUAGGGCUUUACUUAUUAUUUUUCUCUUUUAACUUUGGUGUACCAUAAUUGAACUAUGUGAACUUUGAUAUCUCAUGAUUUCACUUUUUUACGCUUUGGUUUCCUAUGAGUGAACUAAGUGAAAUUUGGUGUUCUAUGAUUUUAUUUUUUCACCCUUUGGUGUCCUCCCAUAAACUUCAAAAAAGAUUAUUUCUCGGUAGUGAUCACCUGUUGUGGGUGGGAACCUACCUACCUACCUCGCAUAGAACAUGUGUCUUGUUUUUUCGUAAAAAGUUUUUAUUUUCGUAAUUUAAACCUCUCUUUAUGUUUUUUUUUUUUGUAAAACGCCACUCGCACCUAGCUUGUGCGCUGGAAGUCUAGAAGUCAGACUGCGAGAGGGUUGACUCGAUAGGGGCGAUCUACUCGUAAAUUGUUUAAGUAUUCAUCAAUUGGCUCAACGUUUUUAAAGUUAAAAUAAAUUAGAUUUUAUUUCUACGACGCUGCCUUUACUUUUUGAUCGUUCCUUUGAGAAACUUUCUUAUAUGUAGUGAACUUUCUUUCGUAUAAGUUAUUUGAAAAACAAUUGACGUGACCACUGGUAAGUUGGUUCUAUCAGUAUUUUUCGAGUUCUCCUCGGAUGUGUAGAUUAGGGGGAUCUAAGAAGCUGUCGGAGUUUCCUCCAACACAGAGGAGUUGUUGGGCUUUUUGCACCUGCGCUUUAAGCUCGCCGAGCUACUCGAGUUUUCGUGUCAUCAGAGGAAGGAGCUCCGUCAAUGGCGCUCGUUUUCGUGGGGUGGGAGGUCUUUCCGCCAGGGAACACGAACCUUACAUGUGGUGGAAGGUGCGUCGCGGACGCUAUGGGUCCCAAGUUAAACUUAAGUUUUAAAUGUAGACUUAAACCUUCUUAACUAACUACGUAAACCGUUCACUGGAGUGGCGAGCCCAGAGCCUCUUGGUACAGCUGGGACAACGCACCCUCUACAAGAGCUCUCUUUGCUUGGCCCUUGGAGACUUAAAUUAACGUGGUUCUUUGUUCACUUAUUCAAAACUUCUCAAUUUCUAUUAAAAUUUCGAGCCGAGACUAAAGUUAAAAGAAGACUCUCAAAGCUAGAAGACCUCAAACAAUGGAGUAAAGUCAAAGCAAACCUUCAUAAAUAGAGUUGAUUCGUUUUGGUUGAUUACGACACCUGGACCCCGGAAAGCUUCCGUCAGGUUCCUUCCUGAAGUAACAAAGCAUUUUGUUUGCAGUCCCGGAUUUUUACGACAUUAACUUUGAUAACUCCUAUUUUAUUAUUACCUCCGACUUGAAUUUCCUGAUUAAACACUAAAUAGGAUCUUAAUACUAACGAACCUUGAGCAUACUUCUCCCGUACGUUCGGAUAUUUAUAACUUAUAAACUACUAAGCCACUAGGGUGUAAACUUGUUCAUCAACUUUCAGUCAUAGUAUGUUCUAUUUAAGUAGCGUGUUAUCAAAACCUACUGCUUUCAUAUAUCUUUGAAUUGCUUCGUACCUUUUGAGCGUCGGUAUUCGGUUUUCUUAGGGAUGCAUCUCGUUUAGGUACACAUUUUUGAGUGGUCGUAUAUACUGGUCAUUUGUACGUAACCUGUGUAAGACUACUACUUUAUUCCUUUACAGCUGAAUUUUCUCCGCCGUCGAAGGACACGAAAGUUAGAAAGAAGUAGACGGUGUCCGGCAGAAGACCUGUAUAUGACCGUCGCAAAUCCUCCUCACCCCUAUCGUGUUUAACCCUCGAGUAGUGGAAGACAAAGUUGUAAUUUUAGAUUUAUUACACUGGUGUUUUAAAAGUUACCCAUUGUCAAACUUCGAAUUCGUUUAUAUCGUAAUUAGAAAAGUUAUUUGACUGUUUUAUACUGCUUGUUUAAUAUAUCGAGUUACAGAGGUCUACUCAUGAACAUAGAUAUAUUACUGAUUCCAUUGUCCCAUUCCUCUCAGUUUCUCUUAUCUUUUCGGUGUAGAAAUGUGUAUCGUAUAAUCAAACCUAACCCACGUGUUUUAUUACGAUAAUAAAUGUUGACUAGUGAUUUUUAUAUUUCAAGGUAUCCUGCAUGGUUCGUGUGUGUAAGGAGAAAUAGUUCCCAGUAAUGUUUAGAAUUGGCUUUACUAGUAAUUAGUACGCUUUUCGAGCUGUAGGUAUCUUGUUGUUACGUAAUAAGCUUCUAAUUAACUUAUCUUCGACGUAACCAGGAAGUGGAGAGAUUAAACCCUUUCGAGAUCAUCUUAUGACGACAAAUUUCUCUGUAUAAACGUAUAUUUCGUGCUUAAACUUCAAGUAGUUGCUUACGUGUCAACGUAGCUACGUACGUGGUUCUUCGAUAUGUUUACUUCUUUUUGUAUGUCUAGCUUUGUGAGGUGUACGAUUCUAUACACAUUUAUUCGAUUUUACGAGUGGAGAUCGAAAUCAGACUUGACUUAGUCUUGUCUGUUGAACAUCGGCUAAUUCGCAUGCUAAAAGCGAUCUUCCUUCGAGACAGUUGAGCGAAAGCGAACGAAGCAAGAACUGCUGCCUCAUCACUUAUAGUCUGCUUUCGAAGACUCCAGAUGGCCGAGCCUAUGACUUGUCUAGAAGAGAGAGCGUUCGCCAAAAUAGCUUGUGAUAUUGUCACUUUACGUACGAAGGCAGCAUGGCUUUCUGAUCCUUGAGCAUGAGGAAGUAGCUUACCAGGAAGUGUUUGAACCCGGUAGGCAAUCAGUCCUUGCACGGGAAACGUCAGAACGGAUCGAGCUGCACGGUAAACGAAGGCGACCCUGGGAGCUCCUACCGACAAAACCUACGAAGAAAGCUUAAUAAGCAGCAGGCGCUGCGGAGUCAACUCUAUACAAACUCCUUCAAGCCGCCCUAGAAGACGUGUGCGUCUUUCUAACAAUACUUUUAGUAACUAAGCAAACAUUUAGCUUAAAGUAGCAAUUUUUUAGUAAACGAACAAAUUCAAGACAACGUCAUUUAACCGUACGUUUUGGCUCACAAGGUUUUUCAUUGUCGAGCCUGUUCAAGAAAUGGAAAAUCUGAAAAUCCGAGUUCACUAGAAUCUCCGUGUUAAUAUUCACAUAGUUCUACUAGGUUUGGUUAAUUAUUCAUAUGAACAUUCAUUGAAAAAAUAAGUAAAAUUUUAAAAUAAAAUGUUGAUUUUCCAUUUAAUUUAUUUCUUUGACUUUUUAUGGUCAGUCGAGACGUUGAAUAAAUCCUUAAGGACUGUCUUUGACUGUUUUAACUAAAAAAAAAAAAAAGUUUUCUUGUUCCUCGAGUUUAUUUUUAUUCCCUUGAUAUAAGGUUACUUAACAUCAUUUAAAUUCGGGGAAUUCUUCGUUUUUAUCGCUUCGGUAAUUCUUCAAUUUUGGCAUCGUAGAUUUGUUAUUUGGGGGGGCGACAACGAUCCUCUGGGAUGUAACAAGGUCUGUAAAAUCAAGGGUUCGCUCUUUUUGAAAUGGUCCGCGACGCGCUUCAGCGGCUCUUCAUGAAACUUCUUCACCCCGAAGGCGCAAAGGCUGCUCGUGAAGCGCGCCACGAAGAAGCGGCAGUAAAAAAAAACAAAAAAACAAAACAAAAAAAAAAAAAAACACCCACGCACACAACCUAAUCAUCACUUCUGACUUCUCACUUCCUCCUCUGCUGCUUCUCUUAAAAACCUACCGCUUAAACCCCCACCUUCAGCCUCCCUGCUCUGCUUCGCCCUCACUUCUGACCGCGCCGAAAACUCCUACCCCCCCGGCUCCCUCGCUCGACCGUCAGGCGCGCUGCUCACCAGCGCAGGCAGGCGUUUGGCUUCUGGGCAGGUGCCUCCCUGCCGACAGUCGCCCUAAAAUAACCGCGGCCCUUAUUUGGAAGGCAGCGACUGACACUGCACUCUUUAAAUAACGCAUCUGGCGUCACGUGUCUGGGUUCAGAGGGCAUGUAGGGGCUUUUCCCCUUUGCCCUUAUGGCAUACGCACCUAUAUUAAAUUAUAUUCUUGUAAAUUAAGGUAUGUUUUGUAUGCCUUAUUAUUCAUAUAAAAAUAUUUAAAUUUAAAAUAUAUAAAUAAAGACAUUUUUAAAUUAUUUUAAUUAUAAACAGAUAGGCUAAUAUAUAAUAUAUUUAUAUAAAGAUAUAUCUCUCCCUCUUUCUUUCUCCCUAAAGUACAUCCUAUGUUCACCUCUCAUCUCAUAAUNUUAUUAUGUAGGGGACGUCCUACCAUAAUGGCACCGGUGCUGUUGCCGUCGCUAGCCGCCCCCUCUGCGAUGCCUCCUAUGUCCUCAACAAGGACAACACUAAUGCUGUCGCCUUCGCCGGCCGCCCCCUUUGUGAUGCUUUUUGCGUUCUCAACAAGGACGACACUAACAUCAUCGCGUUUGCCAAUCUAUUACUUAUAUUUUUUUUAAUAACUAUUAUAUGUUUAUGCUUAAAUAUAGUUAGAGAAAAUAUUGUUGUGUUAUACUGACUAAGUAUUUUUUUUAAAUCUCUUUUGCAACCAAUUUGGUGAGAUAUAUUAGAAGGACUUCAUAUUAAUUUUCUUUUAUUAUCUAUUUAAGAAAAAGAAUAAAGAAAAUUAUGAAAAUGGUUAGAGUAGCACUUUUUCAAAUCAUAGCUCUUUCAAAUCAUAUUAUAAAGUUGGCUUGAAGUUGGAUUUAUUAGAGCUCUUAUAUCUAAUGUGUUUCAUAUUACUUUUUUUUUUUGAGAGAUAGGUUGCACGCUACCCGCUUCGUUUACUUCAUUUAGAAAUAAACUUAGCUGAAAAUGUGAAUCAACUAGGAUUCGAACUUGGGCCUCGGGUACCAACCACCAAGUCCUUUGCCACUUGCUUUAGGGACGGUCGGCAAUGUGUUUCAUAUUACUGUAACAAAGAUAUUUAGGAUGAGUAUUAGGUGAGAGUAAACUUGAACAAGGUUUAUCGAGAAGUCAUCAUAUAUAUAUUUGUUUCCAUGAAUUUUAAUAUUUUGAUAGUAGUUGAUUUCUUUCUUCAAAUACUAUAGUGCUAUUAGAUGCUAGAUAUUUUCUACUGGAUGAAUAACGCAUAAUUUUCAUCUUUACUAGUAAUUGUCUUUCUUCUUCUUUUGUUUAAAUUUUAUAAGAUAUAUGAAUCUAUUCUUACUAAGGGUUAAAUCGCUAACUAUGUGUUUUAUGGUAAGCAUAUCUCAGCAUCCAAAACCUAUAUUCCGAUUAUAUAAAUUGUUUCUUAAUUAUAUGAAGUCAUUCUUUCUUCUUUCUCACUCUUACUAUACAUAUCUUUCUUUUUGCUUUUCCUUCCAAUGUAAGCAGUAAUAUUUUCCAUGAUUUGUCCUGCAGUAAAGGAAUGAAAGCUUUCAAUUGUAGAAAUUUCUUUCCAAUUUUGUUGGAAAAUAAUUCAUUAGAUAAGCAGAUUUAGAAUUGAAAGGGAAAACCUAGAUGACUAAAAUACAAAGAAAAUUUGCGGAAUUGAAUUAAAUUUUUAUGUUGCAAAAAUUUAGGAAACAAUUGGCCAAUUAUGUUGUAAACAGUACCAACUAUAAAUUCUCUUUAAAUCUCAAAAUUAGCUAUUUAUGUAGGUCCUUAUAAAAUCUAAAUUUUCAUUUAUGCUCUUUAGAAACUUUCUUUUCGUUAUGUACAUAUUUAUUCUUUUAAAUCACUUCUUAAUAAAGGACUUCUAAUACAAACCAAUUUCUAUAGAUUAGAUGUAGUGAGGUAAAGGUAUUUGUUUUCUGAGUUUGCACCUUCGAAGGGUAUAUUUAUGUACUAGAGGAUAUUGUUGGACAUAUAUAUAAAAGUUCUUACAAAGACAUGACUUCUACAUAGACAUGCAGAAGAGAGCUGCUAUCUCCACUCGAGCCAAGAUACAACUUUUACCAAAAAUUUAUUGUGAUCUUUUUAUUCAAAUAACAAUUAAGAUGAAGUAAUGUCAGAAACAACAAAUCUCUUUAUGAUAAAUAGAUCCAUCGGACUAAUGGCGUAUACAAUACUCGAAUUAUUGAUGUAGAUGCUCAUCCUUCAACUACGAGUGUAAUUGGAGCAUUUGUUGACAAAAGAAUAACCCUAAGAUGAUCAUCUCAUGGCUAUUGAGAAUAAAUCAAAUCAAGUGAUUUGUUUAAAUUCUUUACAAAAAUUUAUUUUCAAGUUAUAAUAAAUAAAAAAUUUUGUUACAAUAAUAUCAACUCGUUGCAUUACGCGAGAUACUACAAUAGUAUAUUUAUUAUAAUCUUAAUCUGCAAGUAUAUUGGCGCUACAAUCUAUUUUAAUUUUUAGUAAAUGAAAAAAUGAUAAAAUAAGAGAAGAAAAGGUAGCCAUUGGAUUUGAAUUGUUAUAGGACCACAACCUAACGUGGGUUGCAGAUCAGGCACAAAUUUUUUUAUUUUUAUUUUUUAUUUUUUAUGGUGUGAUUCUUAGCAAUCACGAAAAAGAGAAUUCUAACGGAUAAGUACCGAAAGUUAAUGGAAGGAUAUUUUUGUAAGGUAUUGAAAGUCUAGAAGGAUAUAUGUACAAUUUUAAAAUUUAAAGCUAUUUAUAAACUUUUAAGGAGUUGUCUUAUUUAUCUCUAAAAUUUGAAGUAUCCUGUGGAUUAUAUAGACAUAGAUAAAAUUUAUCCGUAAAUUUUGGAUAGUCUACAUCUUUAUCCAUAUCAGCCCAAGAGCGUGCGGAUGGAUAAGCAGGUUACUGGUAUAUUGUUCCUUUUUUUGUUGCUCCUAUAUUUUUUAAAUAAUUAUUAAAAAUUAUAAUAUAACAUGUUAUUUGAAAUAUCACAACAUACAAUAAAUAACGCAUAGUUAGUUAAUUCGAAUUGGGAAAAAAUUCAGUACAAGUAUAAUACGAAUAAAAUUCGUAUUCUAAUGUUUAAAUUCGUUGAAAAAUACGGCUUAAAAAAUAGGUUUGCGAAUUAUUCAGAUACGCGGUUUAUACGAAAAUUAUAUGUUCAUCAAUUAAAAAUUCGGGGUUAAAAUUCGACUUGUAAAUCAAAUUUUUUUUUCUAAAUUUAUGUUACUAGCAUAAACAGUUAUAAUUUUUAAGAAUAUAAAAAUAGAGAGCUACAAAAUAAAGUAGAUUAGAUAAAAAAAUAAUAGCAAACUAUAUUAUAUACCACGAUAUAUAAACAAUCAAGCAAUAAAGAGAUUAAGAUAGUCUAUAAUUUGUCUGCGACCACAAAUGACUUAUCUCGCACGGUUAAUCUAUUUUGAUUUUCCAUAGGAUGGUAUUCAUGAUUCGGAUCAAUAUUUCAAUAUAUAUAAAUAGGUUUCAAGUAUUGUAGAUUCAUGGCUUCCAAUAAAUGUAAGCAUUUACUGUUAAUUACCCCUAUUAAAUAUUAGGGCACCUUCGAUUAAGCGACCUCUGAAAUGCUGAAUGAGAAAUAAACUGGAAUUGAACAAAAAAGGAUUUUAUAAUAUAGUUUAUCAUUCAAUUACAUAGCUUUAACCACAGGCAUACCCCCAGUAUACAUAAAUAGAGCAUAAAAAGAGAGAGUGCUUAAUUUAACGAUACGACGGUCAGUUGAACUUAAUUUUGAUUGAACCUUAGUUAUAUAUUCCAAGACGCCCAAAGUAUAUGAUUAAGUUGAUUUGGUUGGGUUCUAUAUGUUUCGGAGCUCAACGUUGUUCAUCCUAAGAUGAAAGAUUGAUUAAAUUUCAUGUAUAUAUUGGGAUUUAAUCAGAUUUAAUUGAAAUUAAACUCUAAUUAGAUGCAUUAGAGUUCGAUUUGGUUAAUUGAACUCUAAAUGUAUGUGUUAAAGUCCAAUGAAAUUUGACUUGGUAUUUAGUUUAAGCCUUCAUCCUAAAUAUAUGUGUUGGGAUGAGCUCGAAUAUUUUAAGUCAAACUCAAAUUUUAUAUCUUACGGUGCGUUUGGUUCGAGUUAUCCUGGCAGGAUUACAGGUAAUCCUGCCAGGAUAACUGUGUUUGGUUAAUCCGCUAUGUAAUCUAGUCGUUAAUGUAGCAUUACAAAUCGAGCAGGAUUACAUCGAAAAUAUUAACGGGAGGGGGGUCGUGUAUCUUGCAUUACUGAAACCCGUUAAUAAUACAUAUUAUGUAAAAUGGCAAUUUUACCCUCCAACAACCCCAAAUCUAAUUAACAGCAUUAUUUUCAUCUCUCUCUCGUCUUCCUCCCUCUCUCUCGCACGUCGCUUUCUCUCGCUCUCUCUCUCUACCUCUCUCUCUCUCUCUCUCUCCCUCUUUCUCUCUCUCUCUCUCUCGCACGAACACCUAUCAUCUUCUAUUGCGUCGUCCUUCCAAGUAAUCAUCAUGAUCUCCUUCCCUCCAUUCGUCAUUUUCGCAAAAAAUAAUAUUCAAAUGACCACAACAAAGGCAAUUUUGGAAAAAACUAUACUUUUAUGUCAGGAUUACUAAAUUUUAUAAACUGAACCAAACGUAUUAAUGCUAUAAACACUGUAAUCUAGUAUUAUAUUACUGCAUUAAACCAAACGCGCUAAUGCAGCAUCAGUAGUAAUCUUACGCCGAAAUCUAAGAUACCUGGAUAUGUCGAGAUACUUUGUAAUAUUACAUAACUCGAACCAAACGGGCCCUUAGAGUCAAGUGAAACUAAGCCCUAAACGUAUACAUAAGAGCUUAGUUAUAUUUACUUUGGGUUCGUCAUAAGGUGAAGUAUUGACUAAUCCUUAAUUAUAUAUUAAGAUUAAUCAAAAUUAAACUCUAAGUAUAUGUGUUAGAGUCUAAUUAGUUGGAUUUAAUUAGGUAAAACCUAAUUUACUAUUUUUACCUUAGUCACAUAUACUAAGAUAAAAAAAAGAUGGUAUGUUCAAUUCUAAACAUAUAUUUUAGAAUCCGAUUAAGUUUGAAUAUUAUAGCAAUAUGAUUCUAGUUUAAUGUGCUAGAGGAUUGGGUAAAAAAAUUUUGUCCCUAACUACUUAAUAUAGAAAAGAUAUAGGGAUUGAUAUAUAAAAAGGUUGAAAGGAAUUUGGAUCGUGUUUCAAAUAAUUUGAAUUAGGUUCAAUUGGAAUUUGAUAUGGACUUGAGUUUAGGCUUUAGUGUUGGUCGAUAUGGUUUGGUUUCGUACUCAGGUUGUACCUGGCCCAUGUGGCUUAGGUUCAAGAUUGGAUUUGACUUGGUAAGCAUGAUUUCAAGUUUUGGUUUGGGUUAGAUUUUCGGAUUUAGUUCUAGUCUAUAUGAGGAGAUCCAUGUAGUUCUUUAAGUCUCAUGAAGAUCUAAAUUGGCCUUGACUAAUUCUUAGUUCAGGCUUGAUCUAGUUUGGGCACUUUUUUUUUAUUAUGGUCUAGUUUGGGUUAGGUUUGUAUUCAAACCUGGGCCUGGGCUCGGUGUGGAUUCAUGUAAUUUAAGUUAAGGUUUAAUUUUGCCGUGGAUUCAAGCACAGGCUAAAUUCACGCUCAUAUAGUAUGGAUUUAGGCAUGGACUAGUUCAGGUCCAUAUAGUAUGGAUUCAGGUUGAAGCCUGAAUUGUAUCAAGUUCUCUGGAUGUGGACUCAGGCUCAAUUUAGGUCUGUAUGGCUUAGGUUCACGUUUCUUUGGGCAAGCUAUAGAAUUGGUCCCAAAUUCAAGUUUGGGCUAAACUUGGUCUAAGUUUAAAUUUGAGGUGAGUAUGGGUUUGAAGUGAGCUUUUGCCCAUACGAAAUUUUUUAUUUUGAGGUGGUUGGUUUUGGAUUUAGGUCCAGAAUGUUAGGGCUAAGCGUUAGAUUUAUCUGGGACAUGUUUGAGAUUAAAAUUUUAAUUUCGAAAAUUUAAACUUCAAAUUAGAUAUCUAAUUUAGAAUCGUUGGGCUUAGAUUAAAUUCAAUGCCUUUUAAAAUUCCCAAUGCACUCUUUAAUUCUCAAAUUCCCAAUCCAGAAUAAUAAAAAAUCAACUCACACAAAUUAAUUAUAAUCACUUGAUUUAAUUUGGCCCAUAAAGCGUCCAAAUAUUGAAUAUGAUUAAGUCUCAAUUUGAUCUAAUUUGGCCAAAUCGAGGGGUUCGACUCUUGAUAGAAUCAAACAUUCCGUUGUUCUUUCAAUAAAGGGACGAUCAAAAGAGUAAUAAUCGGUAAUUCGAUGAUUUCUUUUGCCUCCCAAUAUAAGAGAAUUAAGAGAGCAUUUUUUUUUUUCUCCUUUACCUCCUUUGAAGGUAUAAGACAACAAAAAUUGAUAAUCCUUCUUUGCCUCCUUUAUAUUCAUGGGACUACUAAAAUGGAAAAAUUCCUUCCUUGCCUUCCUUUUAAUAACAAAGCUCUCUCUUUCCUAAUGGGAGGAGUAAGUUCCCUUUCUCUUUCUGUGACAUAUAUACAUAUUUUUUAUAGAGAGAAGAGCACCGCUCUCUCUCUAUAUGCAGGUUAGAUUUCGCCGUCGAAAAAUGCAUCUUGGGCAUUUCAUCGAACAGUUGGUGGGCGUGGUGCGUUGCGCAACACUAGUUUCGCGACUAUGUUGGAGUCGCAGCAGAGUUGUGGUUCGGCAGUGUCGAUAGUGAUAAGUCGAGGCGCAGCAGCGUUGGAGAUGGGGUUGGAAGGCAUGCGAGUUUAUGACGAGGGCGUUGGAUCCGGUCACCCCAGUGAUGGGGACGUUGAGCUCAACCAUCUUCGCCUUGCUCGCACGAUUUCUAAAUACAGUAGAUUAUUCACGGUAUUCUUCAAAAUAUUAAAAUUAUUUUCAGAAUUUAAUACUAUAUACAUUUCAGAGUUUAGAUGUAGAAAAUAUAUAAGCUACAUAAAAGCGGUGAAUGGUUGGUUUACCGCUUUUAGAAAGUAGGGAAUGUCCGCUUUCUAAAAGUGGUAGACAAUUCACAGUUCAUAUCUAGUUUUAUAAAUAAAUAUUUGGAUAUCUAUUUUUACAAUAAAAAAAAUUCCAUAAGCUUAGUAGUCUAAAAAGCCCUAUUUUAAAUUGUCCCUUUAUAGUAACUUAGUGAAAAUUGUUAAUAAUCAUGGUAUAGCUGUAAAUAAUAUUGUUUAAGGUCUAUCCUAGAUAUCAAAAUUUUUGACAGGUCUAGGCCUACUUUACAACUUAUUACCUUGAAUAAACAAUAUUUUUAUAACACGUUAAAGAUUAUUCUGGCUAUUUCUUACUAUAUCGAUCUUUUUUGGUAAUAUAGUAUCGGAACUAGCUCGCCAAAUAAUUUAUAGUCCCGUAGUAAGGUGUCUUGCAAUCUAUUUUGAGAUUUGGAGUUUGGAGCCUCUCUAUGUGUGUCAAAAUAAGAAUAAAACAAUGAAACUAAAAAAAAAAAAAGAAAAAAAAAAAGAGAUUCUAAGCUUCUUUAGCUGCAUAAGACUCUUAAGUACAAAUUCUCACAUCUACUAGUCUUUCUGAGUUCAGGUCUAUGUAGAUCGAAUGACAAUCAAAGAGAGGAGGUAAAUUAGUCUUCCAAGAGAAAAGGUAAGUUAAUUAUAUCUACAAAAGUCAAUUAAGAUACGACGAGAAAAGUGUAAAAGAAAUGCAAACUCAAUGAGCACAGAUUUAAUGUUUUGAGGUUCGAUCUUCUUUUCUUUUAAGUCCCCGUCGAUUCGCAAUACCUGAGAAGUUCGAUUUUCAUUAUCUGAUACUUUUGUUACUCCAGUACAAUGUUUUUUUGUCUAUUUUAUAGAUAAGUAUCAAUGUUUUACUCUACUUGUCUUUUUCUCCUUAAAAGAGAAGCUUUCCGGUAAACAAGAUUUCAGCUCUUUCGAUACAACAGAAUAAAAAAUCGCUCUGUUGGAAGCCGAAUUUCCCGACCUUUGACCCAGUCAAAGAUUCUCCUAGGAAAGCGCGCCGGGGUGAGGAACGGUUGCGAAUAGUGACCCUCGAAGUUUGCGCCCUUCGACAGAUCAAGCGAUUCGGCUGACGAGGGAUCGAGCCAGCCGGGUUCGAAAACCACUACUAUAGAAUCGAUUCGGCUGGAGGAGCCGAAUGUAUGAACUGUGCAGGGAUCAAUGUCGGCAGAAGAGCCGAAUGGAAAAAGUACACAGUAACUGGUCGGCUGAAAGAGUCGAAUAAAUGAAAUACACAAUGACUGGUCGGCUGAAAGAGCCGAAUGCCUUUAUAUAAUAAUAAAAAGAGUGUGCCCGAAGGGCAUACAGACUCAGAAAUAUAGUUUACAACAGAGUGAUGCCCGUGGGGCAGAUAGACUUUGCAAAUGUAGUUUACAACGGAGUGAUACCCGUGGGGCAGACAGACUCUAGGGUUAUACUUAGCGAACUACUCCUAGGAAAGCAGUAAAUGCGGAAAAGAAAAAGAUUAUAUUUAGACUAUUCCUAGAAAAGCGAUAAAAUGCAGAGGAAAUAAGGGUGAUCUUUUGUGCGCAGGGGUAAAGACCUCUAUUGCAGGCUUCAAAGUUACUAUUUAUAGCUCACAUUAUUAGUUGGUUGAAAGAAGUUGGGGGGAGUGGCUGUAACCAUGAUCGUGGAAGUUAUACUAACUCCUCAUGGAAGUUACGCUAGCUCCUCAUGGAAGUUACGCGCCAAUUUUCAACCGUUCCCGCCUUUUUGUCAUUCAGACGCCUUAUUGCCGACUCCUAGUGUACCACGUGUCAUUAUUGGCUCAUACGUGGGUUAGGUCGGCUCAAUUUUUGUAUCAACACGCUCUAAAAAUAACUUAAGCUUAGAAAGAGAGUAGAGGACUCAAAGAAAUAUAUUCAAGCUCAAUAAUGUCCCAUUUUAAGCCGCAAGCCUAUCUUUUUAUAGCCAUAAUAAAAAGGUAUAGUCGUUAUACUGUUGGGAUCCUAAUACUAAAUGUUGAGAAUCCACAACCCAUUUUGAUACUGAUUGCUAUAAAUUCGAUAUUUGCUUUGGUGCCGAUUGUUAGAAUUUUGUGAUGAAAGCGUUAAAUCAAAAUUUUACCAUGCAGUCGUCAUCUUAGCAAAACCUUAUGCAACUGCAAAGGAGAGAAAAACAAAAUAAAAAAUAUAGGUGAAACAAGGGUCAUUAACUAAACAAACUAAGAAAAAAAUUACACCUAAUUCUCUUUUACACAGACCGACCAUCCCUAGAGUAAGUGACAAAGGAGUUGGUGGUUGGUACUAGAGACCCAAGUUCGAAUCCUAGUUGAUUCACAUUUCUUGCUAAGUUUAUUUCUAAAUGAAAUAAACGAAGCGGGUAGCGUGCUACCUAUCUUUCAAAAAAAAAAAAAAAUCUCUUUUACACAGAGCAGUUUCAACCAAAGGUAGACUGCUGGGUAUGGCCCAGCACCACCUGCAGCCGUGCCUGGUCGGGACGGCCCACGGGCCACCCAGCCCGUUUGACAACCCUGCAUCAAGUGUACUUACACCAAUUUGGUUUUUGUGUGCCCUUUCAUAUCCUUCAUCUUGAACUCCACUCAUAAGAUUACUAGUUUUACAAUAUAGCCAGAAACAAAAGAAUCAACUUGGUCAAAUUGACCCAAUGAAGUACAGAUAGUUUGCCUUGAACUUGAGCUCUUGAAUCUUCUUCUAUCUUCACCAUGUGGCCUCAAACUUGAGUUCUACAAAGAUUAGUACUAUUAAAAUCAAACUCAAUUGAAGCAAUUAGUAAUUAAAAUUAUCAUUAUUUGUGAUGAUCAAAGUACAAUAAUUAAGGCUACUAGGCCAACUAGUCUCAUAUCCGUCAUUAAUGAUAUCACGCCCCGAGUUACAAGAGAAGUCCAGAUUACGUUAACAAAUCCGUCGUAUACAUCAGGAUACACCUUAUGCAUAUGAAGUGUCAGUAAAAUCUGUCUAAAGAAGUUUUCUCAAAUCUAAUAACAACAGUUAUCAGAGCAGAAUAACAAUUAUAUACUACAGCAACACUGUAAAUAUAAAAUCAUCACUACUCAAAUCUUCAAAAUAUUACAACAUCUUCGACCACUCCAAACCUCAAAACAUUGUACAGUCUACUAUAUACAAUGAUAGGUGGUCCAGCUAUGCACACAAGAAGGGUAGGAGAUGGUAGCUAUUCGUAAUCCUUUUUUCUCGCUCAGUCGCUAGUGUUGAAGACUCUGAAAUAAAAAUAAUAAUAAAAAGGUUGUGAGAACCAUAAUCAAUAGUCUAGUGAGUAUGGUUAACAAUGUCGAUGGUCUAUAAGAGGUAGAAAUAGUAAAUAACUGAGCAGUAUGAUCGAAUAGCUAAUAAUACGAAUAAUUGCUGAAAAUAACUACUGCUAUCAUUUCUCUAUAAUAUAACUGAAAAUUGUAAAUCAUAUAUCUCACACAUCAACUAAAUAGUGAACAAAAUAAUGUAAUAAUAUCCAAUCAUGAUGGCUAACUCAGUAGUUAGAUCUCACCUGCGCCGCCUCAUGUCCAGCACCUAUCAAUAGUGGUUCGCUACCACGCAGGCUACUGUCUGGCCCAUGCCAUAAUAAUAUAUCAUAAUCUAAUCUCCGAAGUGGCAUUCACAGGGCGUUAACCUAACCGAGUAUAGUAUUACUAUCAAACUCAAUAUCGCAUAUAGACUGUAGCCAAAUGUGAUGAUCAAACAGAACAAAAUAAUACCGUCAUAGCGUCCCAUAUAUAGUAAUGACCUUACACUAUCUACCACUGUCUACUAGCCUCCAAAGCUAUAUCAUAUAAUAUUAACAGUGAAAAAUAUGCAUGUUUCAAUAUACUCUACAAGAAGGUGUCAAAAUACGACUACCAUCUCAAGUAUAUCAAUAAAUCAUGUGGCAUAUUAAAUAAUAUAGUAUGAAUAUAGGAGUUAGUCCGCCAAAUUUUGGCAUGUUAUCCCAAAAGGAGGUGGGAGAAGAAAAAGAAGAAGCACGACACCAACCCAAAAACUCUUAUAUAAUCAACUCUAUAAAUACUCUCUGUUAGUUAAUUCGUGAAUUAUUCGCGAAUUAUUAAAAAUCCGAAUACAACAGACCGUAUGUGAAUUUUUUUCAAAAAAAUAAUAAUAAAACGUGAAUUUUUUGGGCUAGCCAAAUUAUUCAUGAAUUAUUCACGAAUUUAGUAGCAUAAAUUUAGAAAAAAAAAAAGUUUAAUUUAAUAGUCGAAUUUUUUAUUACGAACUUCUAAUUGAUGAACAUAUAAUUUACAUAUAAAUCGCGUAUCCGAAUAAUUGAUGAAUCUGUUUUUAAGCUAUAUUUUUAACGAAUUUAUUAAUUAGGAUACGAAUUUUAGUUGUAUUAUAUUCGUACUGAAUUUUUACUGAAUCCGAAUUAACUAACUAUAUAAAUACUAUGUGCAUAAAAUAUUACGCAGAUCAGUCCUCAAUCUCCUCCAAAAAUCACCCUCUCUCUCUCUCUCUCAGUAGAAAAGAAAAGAAAUGAAAAAAAAAAAAGAGAGAGAAAAAGCACCUCAGCCAACCUGUACAUAUAAUUUCAGCCAAAUACCCACUUUCGGAUGGCCGAAAUUCAAUUCGUGUAUCUAAAAUCCUGUCUCUUUCACAUCACUCACCAAUUCAUUUUCGAGCUCAGAUUCGGGCACUCAAAAAUGAGCUCGGAUUUUCUGAAUGCACUUUUGGGCAUUCGAAAUAAGGAUUCAAAAGUAUUUCGGCCGCUACAGUAGCUUUCGGACUACUGCAGUAACUUCAGGGCGCCUAGUUUCUACAUCCAGAAAUCCACUAGCAGUCCAAAUUCAUCCGAAAUCUAAUGUGUGAUCUCGUUUUCGCGUCGAAACAGAUCGAAAUCACUCCAAUAUGCUAUAGAGAUGUCUGUCAUUAAUUAAUACUGCAAUUUUACCUAUUUGUUAUCGCAAAUGACAAAAUGCUCUUACUAUUUUUUUUUUGUUGUUGUUAUCUGGAUCUUUUCUUUUAGGGCUUGUUUGGUUCAUCCAUUUUUGGUAUGGAAUGGAAAUCGGUUUGAUCAAAUCCGGUUAAUUUUGUUUGGUUCGCAUGAAUCGGUUUGAGAUUCCUAUUCCGGACUGGAAUGGGAAUGGCCCAUUAGUCUUCAACUUGAUUCCGGUCUUCUAGCUUGGAUUGAGAUUUCAUUCCGGAAGCCCACUAAGUUCUUGAAACCCAUGUGACCAUCUCACCCUCAUUCUCUUCACCCCUUUCUCAUCAAAAAAAAAAACUUAUCUUCUCUCAAAACCUUAUCCUUAACCCACAUCAAUAAAAGUUUUUAAAAAUAAAUUUGAUAUUUUUUUUGGAAAACUUAUUAGAGAAUAGUAUUAUAUUUUUCAUAAAUUUUAAAUAAUAUAAAUUUAUAUUUGAGAGUAAAAUUAGUAUUAUAGUAUCCUAUAAUUUUUUUAGUUUAUACGAACCAAACAAUGAAAUGUGAAUAACUCAUUCCUAUUUCCAAUCCAUAAAUAAACCAAACGUCUUGGGAGAGUGGGCCAUUUUAAUUACCAUUCCAAUUCUAUUCUUGAACCAAACAAGCCCUUACUGCUUAUGGAUGUUGAGACUUCUCCUAAACUGUUGUUUCCCAGCGGUCGAAUUUAUUUGGCAAACAAAAUAGUAGCAACGCUAUCGUUAUCGAUUUUAAUGACCUUGGCUCAUUGUUUCAGACAAAAAAGGGGUUGGUUUAAAAGGGGGAUUCCCAAUGCAUGUGGGCCCCUCCUUGAUUCAAGAGUUUUAGCUGAUUAGAUCCAUAGAAUUUGCAAAUAUAUAAUUUACCAAAAACCAUAUUUAACCUUAAUUCCUAUCAAUUCAAAUCUACAAUUCUGAUAUAGAAUUUAAAGAAUCCGAUCUCCUAAUUUAGAAGGCUAUUUAAUUUUAACUAUUUAUUGUUCCCGGCAAAUUGUUUAGUUAACAAAAUAAUUUUAAAAAAUAUAAGAUUUAGUUUUCCAAAUAUUUAAAUAAUUUAUAUUAUGUUUACCUACAUUGAACACCAAAUCGAUCUUUUAUUAUAAAAAAUAUAUGCAACUUAAAAGGGAAUAAAAAUUUUAUGGACAACUAAUUAGUUUGGGGACUAUGUGGAUCGGCGUCACGUGGCCGAUCUGACGGCCACGUUUUUCAGUUGCUUUUUCUCUCUCUCUCUCUCUCUAAAAACGCAGUUUUUUUUUUCUUUCCAUCCGUGGCCCGUUUGGUUCAAGUUAUAUAAUAUUACAGAGUAUUUUGAUAUAUCCAGAUAUUUUGAAUUUCUAAAAGAGAUUACUACUUAUACUGCAUUAGCGUGUUUGGUUUAAUACAGUAAUAUAAUACUGGAUUACAGUGAUUAUACCAUUAAUAUAUUUGGUUCUGUCUAAAAAAUUCAGUAAUCUAGACAAUAAAGUACAGUAUAUUUCAAAAUUAUCCUUAACCGUAUUUUAUAAAAAAAUUUUUUACUAUUUACAAAUAAUAUUUUGUAAAUUAAUAUUAUGUACUGGGUAAACGCACCCUAAAAGGAAUCGGUGUCCUUAACCAAACGCACCCUAAAAAGAAUCGGUGCUAUUAAUAGUCCAAGAGGUCAACUCAAAAUUAAUAUUAUGUACCGGGCAAUUCUUGGACUUUAGUUCUCCUCGUCUACCCUUAUAUAAUUUUAUUACUUAACGCAUGAAGCAUGAUUAACCUGGAUAAUUAACUUAAUCCAGCAUGUUUAACUAUUUAUUAAUAUUUUAACCCUCGGUUUAGCUUAUAAAUCAAACAACUCUCUGUGGAGCCUAAGCUUGAGCUGGCUCGCUAUUGUUAUAAGCCGCAGAGCUUGUUUGAUUCUGCUAUAGAUUAUAACUAACGACGUACCCGUACUUUGUCGCGGUAUGAUAGAUAUGUUCAUAAUUAUAUUUAUAAAAUAUAGUAUAUAUAUUUUUAUUAAAUAUAUAUAUUAAAGAGUUGAGCUAGAAUACUAUCGGUAGUAAACGAGCUGUUUUACUACCGAUUUGUUUUCGAUGAUAGAGCUUCCAAAUUGACGAUUGGCUCCGUUAAAUAUGAUCAAAACCAUUUAAACUACCUAGAAAUUAAAUUUCACGCACUUUCGAUAUUGUUCUUUUAUCCAUCAAGUGAACAGAAAAAUAAAUGGCUGAAAAUGAAUACUCUUUAAAAAAUGAUGAUAGGAGUCUUGUAAUCAAGAUCAAGAGUAUAGAUCUUGUUUUAAAUAGUUUAAAGAAUUUUCUAAUAAAAAAUUCAAUUGUUGUGGAUAUCUUUACGCUUAAACAAAAAACCCUCUUAAUCGACCAUUAAAUUACACAAAAAUUUGAAACCCUUGAAUCAUUAUGGUCAAAUGAAUGUCGAAAAGAUUUGAAAAUUUGAUUUCUAAACACUCAUGGUAUAGAUCAUCGUUUCAAACGGAAGCCAAUCGUCAAUUUGGAAGUUCUAGUUAUCGAAAACAAAUCGGUAGAAAACGUGCUCGUUUACUACCGAUAGUAUUUCUAGCUCGAGACCUAUAUUAAAUAUAUAUUUGUAUCAAAUAUCCUAUUUCAAAAUAUAAAAGUUUGUAACUUUAAAAAAAAAUACUUUCGAAUGGUCAAAAGUUGGAAAUUAGAAGAAUCAAACAAUCUCAAACUUCUACUCUUUCGAAUUCUACUCAAAUCUCAGAAAAAUACAAAUUAUUGUAGAAUAUAAUAUGUAAAUAUCUACCUUCUAGAUUUUUUAUUAAGUAAAUCUUCAAAACACCAUUAUCUGAUUUCGCACUUUUUCACUUUAGUAUGAGGGUUUAAAGUGUAUGCAAUUUAGUGUUCUGUGAUUUUAAUUUUUAUUUUUUUCGUCAUUCUUUUUUUUAAUAUUGUUUUUUAAAUUAAUACAAAAAAAUUCAAAGCCUUUACUGUAGUUUUAUCGAAAGCACCUUUAGUAUCCUUAUUUAAUCUUUGUCACUGACAUAACGAAAAAUUAAUGAAAGCGAUAUAAAAAAAGAUAAAAAUAAAACCAAAUAUUUUAAAGCCAACGAUGAUACUAAAAGAACGUGUGAAACCAUAAAGGGUGGUGAUUUGAAAGUUUUUUCUUAUUUAUUUGAGCUACUUUAGUUUCGAAAAUUAAAUUCUUUCGUAUUUUGCUAAUAGGUAGACGGGAUUUGGUUGCUAUUUGUGUAAGUGAACUCUAAUUUAAUUUUUCUACCCCUCUCUACGUUGUCUAUUUUUCGGUGCUCUCUUCUUCCGCAACGCGUGCGCACUGCAUUUUUUUUUUUUUGUCCUUUUCCGCACGAGCGCACACGUUUCUCUCGAUCCCUUUGUCCACCGACAUCCAUCGGUCAGGCGGAUUUCGUGCACCGUCGAGAAUAUUAUUUAUCUUUGUUUCCCUUGCCAAGAUUCUUAUUAUAAUAAAAUUAAGUUACAUAGACACAUUUUAAAGAUAUUUUUAUAUAAAUAUCUUAUUUAUAUUAUUUUUUUAAAAAAAAAUUUACUAAAACCUAAAUAUAAAGUCCAAUUCAAUUAGAAAUAAAAGUUUCUCUUCUCAACCAAUCCUAUCUGGACCACUUGGUCCGAUUACAAAUAGAAAAGGAAAAAAAAAAAAAAAGCAUUGAUCAUAAUCUCCCCUUCUCCUCCUCUAUCGCUGCAGCCGACGAGGUAGGGUUUCGAAGGCUGAAGUUCGGCUGCGAGAAUCUUGUAGGGAUCGUAGAGGAUUACGAUUGCCACAUAUCCCUUCGCCACAGGUCGCUGGAGGAGUUGGUGCCAAGUAUCAAGACGACCCUACAUAUAGUGACUCAACAUAUAACAAUAUUUUUAAAAAAUGUCGAUAAUUUAGCCAGCAACACUUUUUUGAUCUGUACUGUUACUUGAAAGUGUCGCUAUAUAUCGUUUUUGUUGUAGUGGAUCUGAUGGUUAAUUUUUUAUGCAUUCUCAACAGUAAAAUUUAUUUUCGAGGUAAGUGAUAGGAUAUUUGUUAGUUUUUUAAAGUAAUAUAGAAAAAUAUUCCGAGAAAGAAGGAUUAACCGUGUUAUUAGCACUUCUGAGAAAAGCGCUUCGACUUUGACUGACAGGUUCAUCUAUUUUUUUUUUUUUCGAAUUUUGAAAAUAUAUUUUGUAAAUUAGUGCAUGAAUAAAUAUUUUAAAUUAUGAUAUCUUUUGGUACUUAGGUAUGCUAAUAUUGGUCAUAUCAAUUUGUAUUUUGUUAAAAAGCUAAUUUUGAAUUUUGCUAUUUUUAAGAAAGAAAAGCACUUUGUUAUCCUAUAACCUUUCAAUUUGAUAUCAAUUUAAAAAGUCUGGGAAUCUCAAUUUUUGAAAUUUUGUGAAAUAAAAACCAAUCGCUUAAACUGCAGUAUUGUAUGAAAGUUUUAUCUCAGAGCAUUUUGUUAUUUACUUAUAUGCUUAAUCCAAGUAAUUUGGUGUAUAGUUGCUUAUCUAGAUCUUGUGACCAUUCUGUUAGACGGAGGCAGAACCGAGUGAAUGUUGGCCGUAGUUUGUUGUUCGAGUGUUUUUUUUUUUAUUAUUUUGUCUUUAUAUAUUAGGUAAAUAUUAAGUGGGUUUUCGUAGAUUAUUCUCAUGUUUUAUUCAUUUUUGUCUUUUUUUUUCUGUACCGUAUAAUUUAAUGAAUUUUUUUGUUACUAUUAUUUUGUCUGAUUGUUUGUUAGGUUCUGUAGUCUUGCAUAUUUAUUGUCUUAGUAGGCAUGCGACAUUUAUUAUGCCUCAGAUUUAACGCAAAAUAAUAUAUAUUUUUUUAACUAAAUAUUUUACUAAGGUUUCGGAUUUGGGAUAGAAUAGAGUCUGCGUUACGCGCAAUAAAAAAAUGUGAUUGAAAAAUAUUCUUUUUGUGUUCGUAAUGAAAAACAUGUCAUGUACAUUAUACUCUCAUUUGAUCACAAUAUAAAAAGGCUCAUUGGGUGCUAAAGGCUAUAUCUAAUUCCAUUAGGCCAAGGGGAGCUGGAAAAAAAAAAUAUAUAAAAAAACUUCUGUCUUUCAGUGAAAUCAUAAAAAUAAUAAUUUAAUUGAAGCACUUCAAUAUAUCCAACGUGAUAUUUUUUAUUUUUUUACAAAAAAACAAAUAAAAUAGGUUUUCUGUUAUACUUUUUUUACCGUACAUAACGUGUUUUUCCAUAAUUAUAAACAAAGUCCUAAAAAGUCUAUAAUCCUGCUGGAAAGUUGAAAUAAAUGUUAUUAUAUGCUGUUUUUCACAAAUUCCUUUGCGAUGGAUAAUAUUAGGCUGUCUUAGUAUUAGAUAGGUUUUAACAUUUUUUCACAACUGAUUGUCCUAGCGCAAGCGGUAAAGAAUUUGGUGAUUGGUAUAUGAGGUUUUAAGUUCGAAUUCUAGUUGAUUCAUAUUUCUAACUAAGUUUAUUUUUAAAUAAAAUAAAUAAAGUGGGUAUAAUGCUAUCUAUCUCUUAAAAAAAAAAUAUUUUCUGACAACCAGUAAGCACGGAUGUUUGAUUGUACGUAAAAUUAAAAAAAUAGGUUUCUAUAAAAUAAUUUUGGUGAAAAAAAUGUCUUAUUUUUGUUGUAAACUAGUUUUUCAUCAACAUUUGUUUGAUUGACAAAAAAAAAUUACAUUUAUUCCGUUCAAUAGAAAAAACUGAAAAUAAUUUUAUGCAGCGUAAGUAUUUAUUUUCCUAAAACACUCUAUUUUUUUCAAAUCUAUAAAAUUAGUUGUUUCAAUUUUUUUUUACCACUAAACAAACACAUAAAAAGUAAUUUGUAAGUCACAAAAAGUAAUUUUCGGUAUAUUUUACAGCCAAUCAAAGACAGCCUAAAGGGCUUUUUUUGCAUUUGGUCCCCUCAAAAAAAAUUAUUUUCAUAAAUAAUCCCACCAAAUUUAUAAUUAUAAUUUUGGCUCUAUCCCUGCUACGUAGGCACCUCGUAAGUGUCACGCGAGUAACGACGGAGGUGCUGAAAUAAAUUGAAUAUGGUAAUUCAUUCAUUGUAUUUAAACACGAUAAACGGGAAUAUAAGUAUAGAACACGGUAAACCAUUCACCGUGUUCAAAAUACGGUGAAUAAUUCACCGUGUUCAACUUAAGACCCUUUUUCAGCCAGCUUGUAUGGCGCUGAUAUGGCGUCUGCGUGAUAGAAAUAAAACAAAAAUUAUAAUUAUAAAUUUGAUGGAGCUUUUGUAUUUUUUUUUUUUUUUUGAAGGGAUCAAAUGCAAAAAAAAGCCCCAGUCUAAAUUGAAAAGAUUGUGGAAUCUAAACCAGCUUAGCCGAGCCGAGCCGAGCCGAGCCGGCGGCGGCGGGGGCUGACGCGUCGCCAGCGCGGAUAAUUGCUCGCAGUGCAAGCUACUGACUACCGACCACGUUGUUUCUUUUUCUUGACUUGCUUUUCAAAGUGUACAAUGCAAACAACUUCAAUAACAAUAAUUUAUGAACCACCACCAGAGAGGAGCCUAAAAAAUUAAAAUAAAAAAAUAAAAAAAAAUAAAAAAAAAAAGGGGAGCAAAAGUGAAUGAAAAGGAAACGAGUGAGUGUGAGGAGUAAAAGGCAGUAAUGAUUAUAAUAAUCACAACUUAUUGUUGGCCGAUACGCCCUCUUUAUUACAUUCUUGAUUCGCCCCAAUUAAUUAAUUAAUUUAUUAAAUUAAUUUAUUGGCUCUUUGGUGAGGUGUCUACAUUGUACUACUAGUCCCCCCACUUUACAUAAUUUAUCCUUGUGUAAACUUAGAAGUUUACUCCCUUGUUUUAGCAUAAGUAUUCUUCUAUAUUUAAUUUUAAAAAAAACUUCAAAUACUAUCUAUGUGGUUCCGUACUUUUUUAUUUUACUAUUUUAUGAUUUAAAAUGUAUCAGUUUGGUACCCAGUGGUUUCAUUUUUCCUUUUUUAUUAUUAAUUUCAUUAAUUUUUUUUCGUUAAAUCAAUGACAAAGUUAAACCUAAAGAAUAUUAAAGUGAAUAUUCAAUAAACCUAGAUAGGGUAUCCGGAGUUUUUUUUGUAUAUAAUUUAACAAAAUAUUAACGAAUAAACCGACGAAAAAAUAAAAAUAAAACCACAGGAUACUAACUUGAUACACUUUAAAUCAGAGGGUACUAAAAUGAAAAAAUGCUAAACUACAUGGGUGUUAUUUGAAGUUUACCCUUAAUUUUAUUAUACUGGAAGGACUUAUUGUUAAACAAAAUAGUAUAAUAAUAAUAUUUUAUUUUUCAAAGCACAAAAUAAUAUAAUAUCACAUUUUAUAAUAAUCCUUUACAUUUUACAAUUUUGUACCAUAGUUUAGUAUGAAAAAAUAAAAAUAACUUUUGAACUGUAAAAAUAACUGAACCACAAAAAAGCAAAUUAAAAUUUAGAAAAAAACUUUAAAUACCACCCCUAUAAUUUCAUACUUUUUCACUUUAUUAUGCUGUGAUUUAAAGUGUACCACUUUCGUACUCUGUAGUUUUUUUUUUUUUUUUUUACUUUUUGCUAUUUCCUCCAUUAUUUUCCCUUUUAUUAAAUCAGUGACAAAAUUAAACCUAAAAGGUACUAAAGUUAAUAUUUGAUAAACUAUAAGUGGGAUAUCUGAAGUUCUUUGUAUUAUAAUUUAACUAAAAGUUAACGGAGGGACUGACGAAAAGGGAAAAGUAAAAUCACAAGAUACUAAAUUAAUACACUUUAAAUCACAGAGCACUAAAAUAAAAAAAAAAUAAAAAAUCACAGGAAUGAUAUUUGAAGUUCAUCUUAAAAUUUUGUUAAAUUAUAUACCAAAAACUUCAGAUACCUAUCCUAGAUUUAUCGAAUAUUCACUUUAGUACUCUUUAAUUUUAACUUUGUCACUGAUUUAACGAAAAAAAUUAGUGGAAUCGACAAUAAAAAGAUAAAAAUAAAACUAGUGGGUACUAAAUUAAUACACUUUAAAUUAUAUAGUACUAAAAUAAAAAAAAAUGUGAAAUUAUAGGAUGAUAUUUAAAGUUUUUUCUAAAAUU